UGUACCACUUUAUCAUCUCCUCGCUGUACCACUUUAUCAUCUCUCCUCGCUGUACCACUUUAUCAUCUCUCCUCGCUGUACCACUUUAUCAUCUCUCGUCGCUGUACCACUUUAUCAUCUCUCCUCGCUGUACCACUUUAUCAUCUCUCCUCGCUGUACCACUUUAUCAUCUCUCCUCGCUGUACCACUUUAUCAUCUCUCCUCGCUGUACCACUUUAUCAUCUCUCCUCGCUGUACCACUUUAUCAUCUCUCCUCGCUGUACCACUUUAUCAUCUCUCCUCGCUGUACCACUUUAUCAUCUCUCCUCGCUGUACCACUUUAUCAUCUCUCCUCGCUGUACCACCUGUGUUUUGUCUUUGUAUGCCUCUAUGUUGUGAAAAAGUUACUUUUUCUUUAUCAGAAUUCUACUAGGUUUCCAUAACUAGGUUUCCAUAACUAGGUUUCCAUAACUAGGUUUCCAUAACUAGGUUUCUAUAACUAGGUUUCCAUAACUAGGUUUCCAUAACUAGGUUUCUAUAACUAGGUUUCCAUAACUAGGUUUCCAUAACUAGGGUUCCAUAACUAGGGUUCCAUAACUAGGUUUCCAUAACUAGGUUUCCAUAACUAGGUUUCCAUAACUAGGUUUCCAUAACUAGGUUUCCAUAACUAGGUUUCUAUAACUAGGUUUCCAUAACUAGGUUUCCAUAACUAGGUUUCCAUAACUAGGUUUCCAUAACUAGGUUUCCAUAACUAGGUUUCUAUAACUAGGUUUCCAUAACUAGGUUUCCAUAACUAGGGUUCCAUAACUAGGUUUCCAUAACUAGGUUUCCAUAACUAGGUUUCCAUAACUAGGUUUCCAUAACUAGGUUUCCAUAACUAGGUUUCCAUAACUAGGUUUCCAUAACUAGGGUUCCAUAACUAGGUUUCCAUAACUAGGUUUCCAUAACUAGGUUUCCAUAACUAGGUUUCCAUAACUAGGUUUCUAUAACUAGGUUUCUAUAACUAGGUUUCCAUAACUAGGUUUCCAUAACUAGGUUUCCAUAACUAGGUUUCCAUAACUAGGUUUCCAUAACUAGGUUUCUAUAACUAGGUUUCUAUAACUAGGUUUCCAUAACUAGGUUUCCAUAACUAGGUUUCCAUAACUAGGUUUCUAUAACUAGGUUUCUAUAACUAGGUUUCCAUAACUAGGUUUCCAUAACUAGGUUUCCAUAACUAGGUUUCUAUAACUAGGUUUCUAUAACUAGGUUUCCAUAACUAGGUUUCUAUAACUAGGUUUCUAUAACUAGGUUUCUAUAACUAGGUUUCCAUAACUAGGUUUCCAUAACUAGGUUUCCAUAACUAGGUUUCCAUAACUAGGUUUCCAUAACUAGGGUUCUAUAACUAGGUUUCCAUAACUAGGGUUCCAUAACUAGGUUUCCAUAACUAGGGUUCCAUAACUAGGGUUCUAUAACUAGGUUUCCAUCCAAUAUGCACAUUUUCCCACCAGUGGUGUGUUUCCACCAAACUGACUGGUUGAUGAUAAAAUCAGUUCUUGAUGACGUAGUGCACAAAAACAUGUCUUUUUCGGUGAAGGUUUCAUUUACUGAAUAAAAAUGGAAAGUUCAACGUGUUUCCAUCACUUUUUUACCGAUAGUUGUGACACAAAACCUGUUGCAUUAAAUAGCAUAUGUGCCGACUCUGGUCGUGCGCGCCAGCCAACAACAGCUAUACAGUGCAGGCUGUGCAGGUAGGCUCGUCUACAUGGUGAGAAUAUUUUGUCCAACAGCAGUCAAGCAUCAAUCAUCAUGUCACCAGAAUAAGACAUUUUUGGAAAGGUGUAUCAAGAGGACCACACAUCAUAUCAUCGUGUGACUCCAAGUUUAUGUCGAUAUGAUGGUUAUUAUUUGCGCAUAAAGGGAUUUCCACCGCCAUUUCACGCAUAAUACAUUUUACUGACACAAAUAGAUGCCACCAUUUCAAACUAACAAAUGAUCUGUCAGCAUUUACAAAAUUGUACCUAAACGUACUGUUUCAUAGCUGUCA
Oncorhynchus keta (chum salmon) is the source of this 2002-nucleotide long non-coding RNA. RefSeq lists it as uncharacterized. The transcript is spliced from 7 exons. The record is from RefSeq and is a predicted model, not a curated record. NCBI's taxonomy places the organism in Eukaryota, Metazoa, Chordata, Actinopteri, Salmoniformes, Salmonidae.